Molecule: ribosomal RNA, 245 nt
Filed under: uncultured bacterium
Lineage: Bacteria
Description: partial 16S ribosomal RNA
Rfam family: Bacterial small subunit ribosomal RNA
Source: RNAcentral
UACGUAGGGUGCCAGCGUUGUUCGGAAUCACUGGGCGUAAAGGGCGUGUAGGUGGAUUGUUAAGUCAGGUGUGAAAUCCCACAGCUUAACUGUGGAACUGCGCUUGAAACUGGCAGUCUAGAGUACAGUAGAGGAUGAUAGAAUUCCAAGUGUAGUGGUGAAAUACGUAGAUAUUUGGAGGAAUACCGGAGGCGAAGGCGAUCAUCUGGACUUGUACUGACGCUAAGGCGCGAAAGCGCGGGGAG